CGGCUUAACGUGCCCUCCGAAGCACGGAAUCAUCUUACUUUUUCGGACAAUCAGGUGAUUCAAGCCUGAAAAGUCCUUACCAAACAAAGAACAGUCUCACAAAGUGAUUUCGACAAUGUCCCCAUCGGGAACCGAACCCGGACCUCCAGAUCGUGAGCGUAACGCUCUAACCACUAAACCACGGAGGCUGUCAAAAACUGACAAACUGAAUUAAAAUGGAUUUGCUGUCAAAAAUCAUCACCAUUAACUACCAUAGACUUACUUAGAUAUUUUACGAUGUUACAUAGACUUUUGACUUAUUAAGCUACUUUUACGAUGAUCUGAUGCAAAUGGCAAUUUCAGGAACGUUUUUUGGCCUCCAAAUCGGGCAGAAAGGCUAAUCGCGUUCGACGAUUAGCUCUGUUGUCGGCUUCGAGUGGUAACUUGACAUGCAAUUUGUCAUUGUCCUUAUCAAGUGAAAAUCUGCGGUUUAGUCCGAUCAUUUGGUAGACCUGGGAAGCUUACCGGAAGUUUUGAUAAUUGGUUGAUUUUGUAGAUUUGGACAUAUUCUUUCCAAAUCCAUACAGCUCGUAUUAUCGAAAUUUUAAGGUGCCAUUUGUUUAAAUGUGUGUGGACUGAUUGGUGAAAUAAUCAGUCCACAGACUGUAUUAAAAGAAACGCUGAUUGUUUUGCCACUUCGCAUAUAAUUCGGUUUUAGUAGAUAAUUACAAAGGUUACAAACACGUCCGACAAUAAGAGAAGAUCGAUGAAUACAAAAAUUAAUUUAAAAAUAGUAAAGAAUUAAUAUUUUUAUAACCUUUUUUUUUAAAAAGGUAUUUUUAUGUUGCAAUUGUCAACACCAUUUUUCAACAAUGGCGGCGUAAGUUGCAAAUAUACGUGCUGGAAAAGUAUUAAUUCUGAAAGAGCAGAACAAAAAUAUAAAAUUACUUAUAUCCAAUUCCAAAACUCCAGAAAACUUGCAAGCAAUCAGCUUAAUAACGACUAGACUACAAUAUUUUAGUGUAAAGCGAAUAAAUAAAUAAAUCAAUGAAUUAAUCCAAUUCUUGAACACUUAGUUUUCCUUUACAACUUUUAUUUGCAUGCUGAUUAUCAAAGCAGGAGAAUGAAUG
This is a long non-coding RNA of Pectinophora gossypiella (pink bollworm), 1109 nucleotides long. RefSeq lists it as uncharacterized. The transcript is spliced from 2 exons. NCBI's taxonomy places the organism in Eukaryota, Metazoa, Arthropoda, Insecta, Lepidoptera, Gelechiidae. The record is from RefSeq and is a predicted model, not a curated record.